AACGAACGCUGGCGGCGUGGAUAAGACAUGCAAGUCGAACGCUGAUUUAAGGGUAGCAAUAUUCUUGAGUCAGAGUGGCGCAAGGGUGCGUAACACGUGGGCAAUCUACCGCGAAGACCGGAAUAACCUGCUGAAAGGCGGGCUAAUGCCGGAUGUGACUGUCUGAAGGAUUCUUCGGACACUCAAAGUUGGGGACCGUAAGGCCUGACACUUCGCGAUGAGCCCGCGGCCUAUCAGCUAGUUGGCGGGGUAACGGCCCACCAAGGCUAAGACGGGUAGCUGGUCUGAGAGGACGACCAGCCACACUGGAACUGAGACACGGUCCAGACACCUACGGGUGGCAGCAGUCGAGAAUUUUUCACAAUGGGCGAAAGCCUGAUGGAGCGACGCCGCGUGGGGGAUGAAGGGCUUCGGCUCGUAAACCCCUGUCAUUCGAGAACAAACCCUGCGAUUAAAUAGAUCGCGGGCUGAUAGUAUCGGAAGAGGAAGGGACGGCUAACUCUGUGCCAGCAGCCGCGGUAAGAC
This 525-nucleotide ribosomal RNA is filed under the name uncultured bacterium. RNAcentral's name for it is "bacterial SSU rRNA". It matches the Rfam family "Bacterial small subunit ribosomal RNA", at positions 29 to 526 of the family's 1533-position model. The record is from RNAcentral.